Molecule: ribosomal RNA, 884 nt
Filed under: endophytic bacterium
Lineage: Bacteria
Description: bacterial SSU rRNA
Source: RNAcentral
GUCGAGCGGAGACGGGAGCUUGCUCCUUGAUUCAGCGGCGGACGGGUGAGUAAUGCCUAGGAAUCUGCCUGGURGUGGGGGACAACGUUUCGAAAGGAACGCUAAUACCGCAUACGUCCUACGGGAGAAAGCAGGGGACCUUCGGGCCUUGCGCUAUCAGAUGAGCCUAGGUCGGAUUAGCUAGUUGGUGAGGUAAUGGCUCACCAAGGCGACGAUCCGUAACUGGUCUGAGAGGAUGAUCAGUCACACUGGAACUGAGACACGGUCCAGACUCCUACGGGAGGCAGCAGUGGGGAAUAUUGGACAAUGGGCGAAAGCCUGAUCCAGCCAUGCCGCGUGUGUGAAGAAGGUCUUCGGAUUGUAAAGCACUUUAAGUUGGGAGGAAGGGCAGUAAGWUAAUACCUUGCUGUUUUGACGUUACCGACAGAAUAAGCACCGGCUAACUCUGUGCCAGCAGCCGCGGUAAUACAGAGGGUGCAAGCGUUAAUCGGAAUUACUGGGCGUAAAGCGCGCGUAGGUGGUUCGUUAAGUUGGAUGUGAAAGCCCCGGGCUCAACCUGGGAACUGCAUCCAAAACUGGCGAGCUAGAGUAUGGUAGAGGGUGGUGGAAUUUCCUGUGUAGCGGUGAAAUGCGUAGAUAUAGGAAGGAACACCAGUGGCGAAGGCGACCACCUGGACUGAUACUGACACUGAGGUGCGAAAGCGUGGGGGAGCAAACAGGAUUAGAUACCCUGGUAGUCCACGCCGUAAACGAUGUCAACUAGCCGUUGGAAUCCUUGAGAUUUUAGUGGCGCAGCUAACGCAUUAAGUUGACCGCCUGGGGAGUACGGCCGCAAGGGUUAAAACUCAGAUGAAUUGACGGGGGACCCGYCACARGCGSGGCUG